AUGAACAAGAUAGCGGCGGGAGCAUUCGCAGAUCUGCCCCGCAGUGUGUCCGACGCUGCCGCAUUCUACCGAGCCGAGGAAGGGAGCUCGACAGAGAAGGUGUUCUGGUCCCAGUAUGUUGAGGCCGGACACCCGGUGCCCAUGAGCGACCAGCUGAAACAGCUGGUCGAGCUCCAUAAGGUAGCCGAACAGGCCAUGAAGGGCCUUAUAGGCCGGCUAUGGCCUGGGGAGGUCAUGCCUGUGAGCUACUUUGGGCUGGUGAGGCGGCUGGUGGAUGUUUGUCCAUGGCUUGAAAUCAUCAAGCGCUCCUUAUGCAUUGAAGGCGCCCAUAGGGCCCUUGCCCGUGUUAAAGUACACUGGGGCAAGAUGGAUGCUGAGAAGCUAGUGACAGGUGGGCCACCGGAGGGGAAGGAGCAUCGCAAGCCCAAGUUGUAUUAUGAGGGCGUCCUGAAGGGUGCCUACCUUGUGGCGAAUGAGUGUUCCAAGGAUGUAAUUUUUGAGUAA
This 504-nucleotide ribosomal RNA is filed under the name Triticum aestivum (bread wheat). Its description in RNAcentral is "partial small subunit ribosomal RNA". The record is from RNAcentral. Lineage: Eukaryota; Viridiplantae; Streptophyta; Magnoliopsida; Poales; Poaceae.